Molecule: ribosomal RNA, 440 nt
Filed under: uncultured bacterium
Lineage: Bacteria
Description: partial 16S ribosomal RNA
Rfam family: Bacterial small subunit ribosomal RNA
Source: RNAcentral
CCUACGGGUGGCAGCAGUGGGGAAUAUUGCUCAAUGGGCGCAACCCUGAACCAGCAAAGCCGCGUGUGGGAUGACGGUUUUCGGGUUGUAAACUCCUUUUGUUAGAGAAGAUAAUGACGUUAUCUAACGAUUAAGCACCGGCUAACUCCGUGCCAGCAGCCGCGGUCAUACGGCGGGUGCAAGCGUUACUCGGAAUCACUGGGGGUAAAGGGCGCGUAGGCGGGAUAGCAAGUCAGAUGUGAAAUCCUAUGGCUUAACCCUAGAACUGCAUUUGAAACUGGUAUUCUAGAGUAUGGGAGAGGUAGGUGGAAUUCUUGGUGUAGCGGUAAAAUGCGUAGAGAUCAAGAGGAACACCGAUUGCGAAGGCGACCUGCUAGAACAUAACUGACGCUGAUGCGCGAAAGCGUGGGGAGCAAACAGGAUUAGAUACCCCUGUAGUC